GCCCUGGUGGCUCAGUGACUAAAGCACUUGGCUGAUAACCAAAAGGCUCAUGGUUCAAACCCAUCAGCUGCU
RNAcentral lists this transfer RNA (72 nucleotides) under Loxodonta africana (African savanna elephant). It matches the Rfam family "tRNA". Rfam says of the family: Transfer RNA (tRNA) molecules are approximately 80 nucleotides in length. Their secondary structure includes four short double-helical elements and three loops (D, anti-codon, and T loops). Further hydrogen bonds mediate the characteristic L-shaped molecular structure. tRNAs have two regions of fundamental functional importance: the anti-codon, which is responsible for specific mRNA codon recognition, and the 3' end, to which the tRNAs corresponding amino acid is attached (by aminoacyl-tRNA synthetases). tRNAs cope with the degeneracy of the genetic code in two manners: having more than one tRNA (with a specific anti-codon) for a particular amino acid; and 'wobble' base-pairing, i.e. permitting non-standard base-pairing at the 3rd anti-codon position. Lineage: Eukaryota; Metazoa; Chordata; Mammalia; Proboscidea; Elephantidae. The record is from Rfam by way of RNAcentral.